Molecule: non-coding RNA, 26 nt
Filed under: Mus musculus (house mouse)
Lineage: Eukaryota; Metazoa; Chordata; Mammalia; Rodentia; Muridae
Source: RNAcentral
UGGUGUCCACUGAGGAAGUAGUAUGU